GGGAGAACCCCUCUGGUGUACACUUGUGUUUUGUCUCCCUAGACUAUCUUGUCUUAAUCAAGGCUCUUGCUGGUAAGCGAACCUCGAAUCAAAGGUACAUGGUUGAUAUGUUAGGUCUUGUUGU
This is a long non-coding RNA of Myripristis murdjan (pinecone soldierfish), 124 nucleotides long. RefSeq lists it as uncharacterized. NCBI's taxonomy places the organism in Eukaryota, Metazoa, Chordata, Actinopteri, Holocentriformes, Holocentridae. The transcript has 4 exons. The record is from RefSeq and is a predicted model, not a curated record.